This 276-nucleotide ribosomal RNA is filed under the name Triticum aestivum (bread wheat). Its description in RNAcentral is "partial small subunit ribosomal RNA". The record is from RNAcentral. Lineage: Eukaryota; Viridiplantae; Streptophyta; Magnoliopsida; Poales; Poaceae.
AUGGAAACAGAUUGUUUGGAGAUGGUACAACUAUGGCACUCGCGACGCUUUUCGCGCUCUAUUGUAGCGCCGCUACUUUUAAAAAUUGACGAGCUAGCCUUAUCCUUUCUUUCCUUUGAUAUUCAACAUGUAAUAAGAAAUGCCAACUUGCCGGCCCACUUGUGUGCGAAACAUGCAAGCACACUUGGGGUAACCGACUGUUGGAUGGACUUCCCGCCCGGCUUCCUCAUUACUAGCGUGAUGGCUGAUCGUGUUGGUGCCAUUGUUCUUGAAUAA